Molecule: ribosomal RNA, 161 nt
Filed under: uncultured Alteromonas sp.
Lineage: Bacteria; Pseudomonadati; Pseudomonadota; Gammaproteobacteria; Alteromonadales; Alteromonadaceae
Description: partial 16S ribosomal RNA
Rfam family: Bacterial small subunit ribosomal RNA
Source: RNAcentral
UGGGGAAUAUUGCACAAUGGGAGCAAGCCUAAUGCAGCCAUGCCGCGUGUGUGAAGAAGGCCUUCGGGUUGUAAAGCACUUUCAGUUUUGAGGAAAAAGAAGUCGUUAAUACCUGCUUGACGGGACGUUACCAACAAAAGAAGCACCGGCUAACUCCGUGC